GGCUCCAUAGUGGUUAGAGCGCUGGUCUAAUAAACCAUAGGUCAUGAGUUCGAUCCUUGCUGGAGCCU
Molecule: transfer RNA, 68 nt
Organism: Astyanax mexicanus (Mexican tetra)
Lineage: Eukaryota; Metazoa; Chordata; Actinopteri; Characiformes; Acestrorhamphidae
Rfam family: tRNA
About the family: Transfer RNA (tRNA) molecules are approximately 80 nucleotides in length.
Source: Rfam